CGCCUGGGGAGUGCGGCCGCAAGGUUAAAACUCAAAUGAAUUGACGGGGGCCCGCACAAGCGGUGGAGCAUGUGGUUUAAUUCGACGCAACGCGAAGAACUUACCUGGCCUUGACAUCCAGAGAGCUUUCCAGAGAUGGAUUGGUGCCUUCGGGAACUCUGAGACAGGUGCUGCAUGGCCGUCGUCAGCUCGUGUCGUGAGAUGUUGGGUUAAGUCCCGUAACGAGCGCAACCCCUAUCCCUGGUUGCUAGCAGGUAAUGCUGAGAACUCCAGGGAGACUGCCGGUGACAAACCGGAGGAAGGUGGGGAUGACGUCAGGUCAUCAUGGCCCUUACGGCCAGGGCUACACACGUGCUACAAUGGCGCGUACAGAGGGCUGCCAACUCGCGAGAGUGAGCCAAUCCCUUAAAACGCGUCGUAGUCCGGAUCGGAGUCUGCAACUCGACUCCGUGAAGUCGGAAUCGCUAGUAAUCGCGAAUCAGAAUGUCGCGGUGAAUACGUUCCCGGGCCUUGUACACACCGCCCGUCACACCAUGGGAGUGGAUUGCACCAGAAGUAGUUAGUCUAACCUUCGGGAGGACGAUUACCACGGUGUGGUUCAUGACUGGGGUGAAGUCGUAACAAGGUAACCGUA
This 634-nucleotide ribosomal RNA is filed under the name uncultured Marinobacter sp. RNAcentral describes it as "bacterial SSU rRNA". It matches the Rfam family "Bacterial small subunit ribosomal RNA", at positions 870 to 1504 of the family's 1533-position model. The record is from RNAcentral. Lineage: Bacteria; Pseudomonadati; Pseudomonadota; Gammaproteobacteria; Pseudomonadales; Marinobacteraceae.